Molecule: ribosomal RNA, 539 nt
Filed under: Bifidobacterium breve
Lineage: Bacteria; Bacillati; Actinomycetota; Actinomycetes; Bifidobacteriales; Bifidobacteriaceae
Description: bacterial SSU rRNA
Rfam family: Bacterial small subunit ribosomal RNA
Source: RNAcentral
UGGUAAUGCCGGAUGCUCCAUCACACCGCAUGGUGUGUUGGGAAAGCCUUUGCGGCAUGGGAUGGGGUCGCGUCCUAUCAGCUUGAUGGCGGGGUAACGGCCCACCAUGGCUUCGACGGGUAGCCGGCCUGAGAGGGCGACCGGCCACAUUGGGACUGAGAUACGGCCCAGACUCCUACGGGAGGCAGCAGUGGGGAAUAUUGCACAAUGGGCGCAAGCCUGAUGCAGCGACGCCGCGUGAGGGAUGGAGGCCUUCGGGUUGUAAACCUCUUUUGUUAGGGAGCAAGGCACUUUGUGUUGAGUGUACCUUUCGAAUAAGCACCGGCUAACUACGUGCCAGCAGCCGCGGUAAUACGUAGGGUGCAAGCGUUAUCCGGAAUUAUUGGGCGUAAAGGGCUCGUAGGCGGUUCGUCGCGUCCGGUGUGAAAGUCCAUCGCUUAACGGUGGAUCCGCGCCGGGUACGGGCGGGCUUGAGUGCGGUAGGGGAGACUGGAAUUCCCGGUGUAACGGUGGAAUGUGUAGAUAUCGGAAAAAAAACA